GAUGUGGCCUCUUGACCAGGUUUUAUUCUUGGCCCCUGCCAUCCACUUGUCCCUCUGCUAUUCCUGCAACUCAAUAACCAGCAGAUGCUUGCUUUAUGGGCUCCAGCCUCUCCACCGUCCGUCUCCUCGUUUGUUCUGGCAUCUACUUCAAAUGGUAGAGCAUCUGUGAAAUGGCCCAAAGUACUCCAAGAUUCUGCUUCAGGGUUAAGAAUUUGUGUCUGUAUUGCCAAGACUCUUACGAGUUUUCCAAUCAAAUACACAACCAGCCUGACCCUGACAAUCACGAAGUACUUUUCGUUACGGUCUUCUCUCGGCAAAUACCUGUCGCUGCUCAAACACCCGAGGGGGAAGAGAAUUGGGAGCUCGCUUUUCGUCCUCUCCGGACUUGCCCAUUUCUCCCCCUUCUCUUGUACCAUUACUACGUGUUAACUCCCAAAUGCCUCUCUAGGCCAGACCUCCGAGCCCAAAUCCCGACCCAGAAAUCCAAGAACCUAAUGGCGUGCCAGCUACCGACGGCUUAAAACAGAAUUCCUCUUCCUCUUGCCAACCCACUUCAUCAUCUCCCGGUUUCUCCCGCCUCUGGCUUGGGAGGCAACCUUGACUUUCCCCUUCACUCUCCCAUCGAGUCCCAAAGCUAUCCUGCCUGAGCCGCACUCGAUUGGCCAAGGAGAGCCACGCCUCCGUCAGAUGUCUGCAGGCUUCCCGAGGGGCCCUCCCUCUGCGCCGCAGCCAGCAAGGCUCAUGUGGGUGCGUCCCCACGGUGUGCACUUAGCAAACGUCCUUUUCCCUCCUUCACGUCGCCCUCCGGGCCAGGGCCCACGGCCCAAUUUCGGAAGCACCAGGUGUGUCGAGGCGGACCUGUGUCCUUCCAUCUUCGGGAGGAAGAAACGAACUGCUUUCGUGGAGCCCAGGUCCGCUCCUCCGAAGCGAACGCUUAAAAGCGGCUCACGUUUUCCAACAGUGGCAUCUCUGAGGAAAACUCAAGAAAUCAAACAGAUUUCCUCAAACUCAAGAGGAACCCAAUGAGUCCGUUAAACAGUGACAAGGUACAAAGCCAGACUAACCCGGGUGGAGACUUCCAGAAGAAAGUUUUGGCAAAAAGAGUACAAAACAAAGUCACAAACGGGCCGAGGCCGACCGAGCGAGCCCCUGCCAUUGGGCCCCACACAUCUGCUCCACACUGGGAUUUUUUCAGCCUGCCCUCAACCUACCGAGAUGUGGCUCGGGUAGAGGGGCGUUCUGAGGGUAAGCGCCCUCAACCACGGACUUUCGACUCCAAGCAGAAUUUUCAAAGAAUAAAACGUCUAAGUCCAGAGAGCAGGCUCCCCUCGACUUGGUUAGAAGCCUAGCCCCCGGUUGAUGGCUACGCGCCAAGGAGGGCCUUUUCCCUCCCACCUGUGGGGAGCAGAGUCCCCACUUCAAGGGCUGACGCCACACAGGAGUGUUCACCAACCCAGGGUACCACCCAGCAACCCAGAAGCCGGUCGCGGAAGCGGCUUUCUCCAGUGAAAUUCCUCUUUCCCGGGGGUUGAUGACUCCAACUCUAAAGACUCCUGCCUCCCCCUUCCCAGCCCCCUGCCUUGCAUCCCACUCGCAUUUUCCUGAGGCUCACUGACUGUAGGAAAACAAGUAUCGCAUUAUGCUGGACUCCCUGGAAUGAGAUCAGUUCUAGUUUCAAAUUCCUUGCCGAACAAGCCCAAGGCCACAGACCCAGUACAAAUCCCAGCUGCUCGGCGGGGCAGAAGGCCUGAGCGAGCUCAAGAAAGCACGACUGAAGUCGUGACCAGCAAACGCAUCCUAAACCUGGACCGGCUUCCUCCCAGGUCUGGUCCGCAGCGCGGGGCACGAACACGUCUGUAAAGGACCCGGUCUCGGCUCCUCCCCCCAGGCAGCACGGCCAAGGCGAGGCUGCGGUGCGGCGCUGGGCUGCGAUUUUCUCCAACUGGCACCAUCUGUGCGUGCCCUGCCAGACGUGCUGACAGAGCAGGCUGCGUAGACCAUUACUAAUCUACCGGGGUCGGCGGGGUCAGGCCUGCAACACGAGGCCUAUAGAUUUCAAAGGCCGGCCUUCCCCCCACGCCAGCUCAUCAAUCUAGGCUGAAAAGCAACCACAUUUUUAUCCUUCUUUUAAAUUUCAAAGAAAAACUUCUCAUCUUCGAGUUUAGCGUGGGGGAUCGCUUGCACAUCAUUGGUGUCCGGAGACCAGCUGAGUGGUACAUCUGCGGGGCUGGAGGCUCAGCUGUUGAUCCCCUGCCAAAAUUGGGUGACCAGGCCAGGGGGAUGACUUUCCUCGCAUACACAAAGCCUUCAGAGCGGCGGUGUAGAGGAAGGCCAACAGGGAGCAAGAUUCAAACUCUACUGCUGCCAGGCACCGCCCCUAAGGGGAGUCUGCAGAGGAACAGUAAAUGCCAAAGACCAUCCUAUCAAGACGGUACCGUGGGAGCCCAGGCAGUGCAAUUCGGGCUGGUGAAUGAAAACACAGCCUCACCCCCCAUCUAUCUCAGAAUUCACCCAAGAGGCCCGCAACUGCCAGCAGCUGCCGAUCAGGUGUGUACUGAACGCGUACUGUGCACCAAGAGCUAUGGAAUAAGCAAGUCUCGUGCUCAGCUCUAUACUGGCCAAGGGCCCCGUGGAAACAGGAAGUCAGUCCCACCUUCAAAAGGCCAUUGGGUAGCAAUGGCAUGAUUCCAGGUGUACUAUGGUAACUAAAAAAUCUUAGGUUGUUCCAUAAAUGCAACUUUUGGUGUGUCAAGGCCAACUACUGUCAUCAUUUCUUGACAGAUGGUAUGUUAUUCUAGAUCUUCAAGUCAAACGAUGACUCAAUCUGCCAAGAGUCCACCAAUCACCACAAAACUAAGACAUCACUGUAAACUCCAAAGAAACCAGAUCUUUAUUUACAAUGAUUAAAGGCUUAAGGAAAUUAAGUCUUUCCGGACUCUGGGCAACUACAAGAGAAGGCUGGCCCAGCCACCAGCACACCCCCCGCCCCCAGGCUGCUCCCCUCACAAGGGUGCCUCAGCAUGACCUAAGAAGCAGUCACCCCAUCCCUUAGCCUUAAUCUGUUCCAGAUCAAGGAAGCACUGCUAUCAUAACAGACCUGCACGCAGCCCUUGGACUCCUCUGGAUAUCCUACAACGUGCUAAGCACACGAAACCAAUGGAAGCAUUUCGAAUGAGAGGCUUCACAUCUAUCGUGACUUUACUAACCCAUCCUGGGACGUGCUGGCACUGAAGAUUUCAUUCUCUCUAUAAAAUGAACACCUUCACGUUCCAAGAUGACCUGUUUUGGUCUUUGAGAAAUAGUCAGAUUUUACGAGCCCUAACUCAACACUAGGCUUCGGGUGUAAAGCUUUCUGCUGUCUUUCCCCCACCUCCAAAGCCCUAUAUUAUGUUUUAGAGGCUGGGAUUGUUCUAGACACCAGCAGCUCCUUUUUUAAACAAAGGCUGCCAAACAUUUAUCUCCCUCUCUGUCUGCUUCUGCUGGGGCAAAAGAUAAGCAUCUAGACAGAGACUUGCAUCGUGUUUUACCUGUAACUCAUCUAAACCACCAACUGACAAACACAGGUUCUGCCUCUGAGCACCAGGGAAGCUUGGGCAUAGAAAUAGCUGCACAGACCUGUGCCUCCAACAUCACUGCCAGCACAGAGGCGGCGAGUGCAACGAUCAGAAGGCAGGAGGCCUAGAUGGUGGAAUGGGAAACCCUUGACAAGUCUCAAAAUAUCAAGCCAAGCUAGAAGGUGGCAAAGAUAUGGCCACAGAACUCACAGUAAAGACCUAAACGGCCACAUUAUAAGUAGAGAUAGGAACAAAUCCAUGUAUCUCCAGCAGCCCAAGCAUCCCCCAGAAAAACAGCCAGCAGAGAUGUGGUCAGACUCUCUUCCACUGUAAGCAACUUAUGAGCCUAUCAAGGCAUCUACACUCUCUUUUGCCUCUUCGAUGUCUAAAAAUUUAAUCAUACUUCACUAGCCUAUUGCUGACAGGUAGGAUGUUUGUUUUUUAUCAACUAUUGCUAAGCAUGAAUAUUAACGGAUAAACUUUAACUCUGCAUUUAUAGGAUUAUACUGGUUUGUAAAGGGCGGGGGGACCCUCAUUUCUGAAGAAAUAACAGAAGGACAAAAGGAACCAAGUUCAUUUUAUUCUGUCUUCCAUGAUCAAUUAGAUGUUAGGCAGUUUAAGAUUCUAAUGGAAGAUUCUUGCAGGGUCCUCAGAAGCCCUGCCGAACAGGAGACCCCCACCAUAUACCAGGCACUGAGUAGGGUCCAGGGGUAUCAAGAUAUGACCUCUGCCCCCCACCUCCCCAGCAUCCUGGGACAAAUGGGAAUCAAAUGCUCUUAAGUCCUUAGGGCUACAGUUUUUCUUAAGAGACUUGCUGACAUGCGAUAUUGACACAACAGCUAGCCUUCUACAGGUUCAGAGAGGGAGGAAAAAAACAAUAGCCAGGGUAGAACACGGAGAAAUAUUUUGGUUUCUGAUAAAAUGCUGGUAUAAUAUUAAAACCAGUUACGAGUGAUCAAAGGAACCUACACUAAACACUGUGGUCACUCUGCCUUCAUGUGCCGUUAGCAUUUGCCCAAGAGCCACCUCUGUGACAAAUCAAAAUGGCUUGCCCCAGGCUCUGCUUACAGGAGCCACUGUCUGAUUUUGCGAACAGGUUACAUUACAGGGCCUUUUUUUUUUUUUUUAAACAUUUAAUGUACUUCAUACAACACCUCCUCUACAAUAGUUUUAGGAGAUCACUCUCUAAUCCCCAAUUCUUCCUCAAGGAAACCAGUUAAGAAUCCUUAAGAGAAUUAACUUAGACAACUAAUUACCGCCCCCCCCCCCCAACCCACACACACAAAAAAAACCCUCCUACUGCAAGGUGGGGAAAUGGAUCACCAGAAGGUGACAACAAUGAUCACCACGAGGUGUGGAAGACAAACAGAAACAAAAAGGAGGACUCCUUUCUGUUCUGGGGAGUUGCAAGCAAAAUGCCAACCUGUAGGAAUAAAAGCUUUCCUCUCCAAGCUCCAAGUUUUAACACACAAUCCAGAAACCAACAGAACACCACUGGCCCAAAUCCAAAGUUAUUCUAAUGGGGCUGAUUCACAUAGUUGACCUUGCAUUUGAUGGCAGUAUCACCACACGUAGAAAGAAAUACAAGUUAUUUAAGGUGUUGAGGUAUAGUCUCUGUCCAUAAAUAUUUUAGUAUUUUUUCCAGAUGCCCCAUCUAUUUUCCCAACAGUGUGCACAGUUCACUAAACAAGGCCAUAAAUAAAGACCGACUUUUUAAAGAAGGCUUAGGAUUAUAGGCUAUUUUUAGACCUUUAUUGAUCAUUCCAGAACGUGCCAUCUCUCCAUGUAUAUUGUGGAGUAAAUACUGUAUUUACUGCUUCAUAGGAUUCUUUUAAAUAUCAACUUUUAAAGUCACAGAAUUGCAGCAUCCUAGAGUUUCAGAAAAGCUUAAGAGCCAACUAGUUUAUCUCGCCUGUCAUUAAUGAAACAACGAGAACUUAGGAAGUCAUGUGACUUGCCCAAUGGCGUGCCUUUGGAAACCCAUCAGGUUAUACCAGCCAAGCUGAAAUACAGUGACUAACCCCUUAUAUGGGCAAAAAUUUACUUUUUAGCUACUUUGUACAGAAGUUAUAAAUAAUCCAAGAUUUCUUUUUAAAUAUAUCUGUAUUAAUACAUUUCAAAAUAAAUCUAUUGCAAUCAUUUAAUGGGUUGCUUAAAUACAAUGUUUUCAUAACCACCUUUCAAAGCAUAAGCACAUGUUGAAACUCACUGGACCACCCAAGUCAAAAAUCUACUUAUGCUAUUUAAUGUUUAUUUGGUUUGUUUCUAAAUGUGUAUUUAAGUGGCAAAGUCAUAAAGGGAAGAAUUAAUGAUAAUCGAUACCAGACCUACACCCAUGGAGUGCUUCUUGAGUUUACGGUAUUUAGUCAAGUCAGCCAAGGGGGAACAAAAAACUAUUCUAAAAUGAGAAAACUCUGUAUAAUACUUUAAAAGCAAGUCCCCAACCAUAUGCUAUAUUCUUAAAGCGCAAUUAUCCCGAGACCAAAACACAAUCCUCUGAAAGAAACUGACGGAAAGGAAAAUGUAGACCUCUCAGAAGUGUGUGGAGGUAACAAAUGAGAUUUAAUGCCAAAAAAGAGAGUAGGCUUUUUGCCCAUUCAGAUACCUUCAAAACUAUCUGUCAUUAUAACUUUAGAUUCUAAAAUGAACUACCAGCUUUAAAAAGACCGAGCAACAAAGGAUCGAUCUACUUACCUAAACAUGGAAAUGGCUCAUACCCCUAAGGAAUGCUCGAAAUUUACCCAAAACUCACAACACAGCUUCUCAUAGUAACAGUCAUCAAAGUGAUUAGGUUUCCAGACCAGCCUAUAGAGGCAUUUCUAAUUCCGUCUGUACCUGAGGUAAUAAAUGCUAGUCAUUUGUAGAAUCCAGAAAGCAAAGAGUAGCUAAGGGGUCAAGGCAAGUGACAAAGAGAAGGGCUUUGUAGGGACAGAGAGAAAAGCCUGCUUUCAUUUACUCUUCUCCUAGUACUUAACAUCUGGCUACAUUAAGGAGCAAUCAGCAGGCUGACUUGGGCUCCUCUCCCUCCUGUUCCCAGCUCUCUGCCUUCCUGGCCUCUUUAACACCAGCCCUCCAGGGGAAGAAGAACCAGAAGUCAAAGUGUAGCAAUUGCCACCUGCCCAUACUUCUAAUAGGCAAUAAAGCCAAAAGAGCAACCAGUACCUGAGACCAAGGGAGCAGAGAAGAAAAUGAGGAACCCCAGAGGCAGCAGGAGAAAAGCCAAUACGGGAAAAUCGACAAGACCAACAGUUAAGCUAAAACGCCUGUGGCAGCCCAAACAGAGUAGGGUAUUCCUGAGAAAAGGGCAGCGAGAAAUUUGGCACACGGGGCGGGGGGGGGAGCAACUAAAGCAAACUCUGGUUGGCCCCUUGAGAAGUUAGGAAAUGGAGUAGUUCUUCUCUAAGAAGGGACCAAGGCACAAAAUCAGGAGGAGAUGUGAAUGAGGCUAGCUGAACUCCAGCACACGUCCCGUGACGGGUGAUCGUUUAACUAUUUGGAUCCCUAAAUCCAGUGAAUUAUCCUGAUCCGUUCUGUACUGUGUACCGAAAUAAGAAUGUAUGGAGGGUGAGCCAUCACCACGACUGGAAAAACUCCAAAUCCUGACAGCCUGGGGCUUGAUUGCAGUCCUGGCCUAAAAUCGAGGAAGUUCCCUGAAGUAAUUCACAUCGUGUAAUUGCCAGAUUUAAAUUUAGUAGCUUAUCAGUAAAAUCCAUUGCACAAAAGCUGCCAGCCAAUAAGGGAAGAGAUGUUAGAAGCUUGCAGGGCAAAGCCAUUUCUUGAGACAAGUUCUAACCCAGAGAAAGCACCAAGGGAAUCCUCUGGAGACACGGGCAGUGCCCCUUCUUGAUCUCAGCAUGUCAAAGCAAGUGUUCUUAAAACGGAAGUAUAUCCACCUGAAAACUACAUCCUGGCUCUUCCAGAAUGUAUGGUGUCUAUGCUCAUGCCCUUCGCGGGGCUGAAAUUCGGCUCCGCAUGGGGCUGCCUGCCUCCACACGGGAACCGCAGGGCCCCAAGAGGAAAAGACAAGUAGAGGAGAAGGGCACACAGGGUGCAGCAGAAGGCACUAUCCCAGGGGAUCGGGACAUCCUCAGGCACCCAGCUCUGAGACCACACGAGUGGCCAUUCGCCACGUGUCAUGGAACCGGGCUCGGGCCGUAGACUGACAGAGGGGUCCAUGCCACUGGGGCACUGAAAUCCACAUAUGUACAACCAUCGCGCAGUCCUGUGGCUUCAACAAAUCUCAAGAUCAUGACAGGAGCUGUGUGACGUUCAGGGAAGGGCACUGGGCUGAAUCUGCAGACCUAGAUUUCGGGAGCGACCUUGCUGGCUUAGCUCAGGGAAAGGGGCAAAUCGUUUCCUCUCUGGGACUCAAUGUCCUCAUCUGUAAAAUACAGAGCAGAUGCGCUCUGUUAGCACAGAAUUCCGACUGACAUGGGAACUGACACAUAAAGCCAUUUGGAUGCCCCCACCCCCCACACACACACGUGGCACAGGGAGCCUCCACGACUGCCCAGCGAGCACAUUCACAAGGUUCUAGCAAGAUUCAGUACAGUGCGAUCAGCAACGAGCCUACUUAGGCACUCUGAGGGUACCAGCAAGAUCUCACCAGAACAAACAGACGGCACACGAAAGCACAUGGAGGGAAGAGCCACUGGCCAGUGUUCCUCGAGGUCAAAAACCGGGUCUCCCUCCAAGGACUACUAAGUACCCCCAUAGCAUUGCCGCUGUGCAUGGCAAUCACCGGGCAGUUCAGAUUUCUCCCUCCUCUAAACUCAGUCCUCAGGCAGAGGACUCCCAGCAAGGUGACUUCCUUCCCCCUGGCAAGUUGCUUAACCGGGCGACAGCAACGCUGUUCAUGAGCGGUGGAGGGGUGUGUGUGAGAGGAGCGUCUUCCUAAACAGGCUCCCAGUAGCUUUGGGGCAGGAAUAAGUCCACCUCCCUAUUAGGAAGGACGUUUCACAAGGUGACUCAAUGCCCAUUAAGCAAAAGAAACAUCAGUCCGCACAGAGCCGGAGGUGCAGCCAGCUCCGGUGUUCCAGGGCCACCACCUCCCGAGUGGGUGACCCUGUCCCGGAACGCCCUCCCCAAAGGAACUAGCACUGCCGCCCCUCCUCCUCGCCUGUGUCCUACUCGGCCAAAGCCCAGAUUUGAACUUCCCACUCAGGAAGGCACAGAUGUGACAGCUCUUCCUCCCCUUUCCACCCUGCUACCUGAGGUUUGCUUCCACGUGUAACUCGUGUUAGGAUUCAUUCCCUGGAUACAGGACCUCUAACAGUGUGAGGUAGAGACAGAGGAGCCAGGGCAGGUUGUUUUUUGUUUUUGUUUUUGUUUUUGUUUUGCCAAGCCCUAAACCUAUACAAUCUGAUGUAAAUUAAACUAGUCCUUUCGGGUCCAAAGGGGCCGUUGGCCAAGUUAACAGCACAGCCCCCCGCAAUCAGGGCACAGAGAGACGCACGCUCCGGGAGAGGGUGCCCAGGCUUUGUCAAAACAGAAAACGCACUCGGCGGAAAAUUGAACUCGAUCUCGAGAACCACUUGGUCCUGCUAAAGAACUAUUACGGUAAGACCCGCCCACCACCGCCACCCUCCUCACGCCCUUUAUUUUCUAAACCCUCAGACACUUCCCCACUCACGUCCACCAACCUAUUAUCCUCUCCCAGCUUCAAAAGCUAACUGCCCCAAAGCUACAUUUUCUCCAUGAAGCCAGUUCCUAAUAGCAUUCCCUAGGAGUGCACGGCUUCCAAAACUUGAAAGGAGCCAAGAAAUCUCGGGCCUCUGAGAUUUAACAACUUUGUGUGGUAGGCUUGCAUCUCCUGCUCUCUUCAACUCAAACCGUAAUCCCCCUUUAAAAUCUCGACAGCAACAGGGAAAGAAAAAAGGAUUAUAGAAAUGAUAAAACCUAGGGUGCUGAUACGUGAAAUCCUGGAUCCACUUGUCGAUUCAUUCACAGACUCUCUGGAAAACAUUAGGAGAGGCAUGUUGUAUCUGUUUCUCCCUUUAUGAGGUAGCUUUUUAUUAAGCCGUGUUGACAUGGUAUCAUAGAACGCUCACAAGUCUUUCUAAGCAAAUUAGGAGCAGGGAGGCUCCUUCAAACUGAAUCAUGAUGUACAUCUGCCUUUAUUGUCUAGUAUCUUUUAUAGGUCUCAGGGAUCUGCCCAAUACCCUACUGACAACAGAAAUCCAAUUCUUAAAAAGGCAUUUUCAUGUACAAAGAGGCCAUCAAAUUAUCACCCGUAAUUCACUUAAGUCAACAUCUGGCGCCAUGACUGUGACUCUUUCUUUAUCCUCAGAUACAAUGCACACCAUAGACCGCAAGAGGAAGGACCACAAGCCUGGCAACAGGAAAAUUCCUGGAGGCUCGUGACAAACACCAAUGGCCCUGGGGUGGAUUUAGACAUGGAAUGAAUACUUGGAAUCCUAGAAACAAAGAGGGAGAAUCUGGGAAAUUCGGUUUCCUGAGUGUUAGCAUCUCACAGGCCAUUAAUGGGAAAUGGCUUCGCUUCACUCACAUCAGAGCCACGGAUUGUUUUUUGGUUUUUGGGUUUUUGUUUUGUUUUUGUUUUUUUUUGUAACCCUUUUCCCAUCUCUAAUGUAGGAUCUAGUGCAGAUGCUACAAUUUAGGGCCAACUUUUGGUUAGUAAAGCUGUAGGCCAAGUUAUUUUCUUCGUUCUCCAGUUCAACUAUGGUUUAGGCAAGCCCCACCCUGACACCCUGCAAACCUGUGACCCCAACUAUAAACAGGGAGGGCUAAGAUCUACUCUUUUACUCACUGACCUCUCCUCCUCCCUGCUCUGGGCUGUCCAUACUCUUCCUGCAAACAACCGGUAGACAGGUAAAGACAAAUGUCCUCCCCCCACCCCACCCCCCUCACCGCCAUGACUGGCCAUGACUCCUCCUCUAAUUCUGGCUCCUGUGUGAUUUUUCCCAAGGGACCUCCUCAGGGCACAGCUUCUCUGAUGUAGAUCUGACCCCAGCUCUGGCCCAGCCUCUUCCACCCACCCCUGGACUCCCAUUACCAGACGACAGCCUUGUAGGGAUCCUCUAACAAGAUGGAUCAAGACCAUCUACCAUUUGCAGUGUUCCCUUCACCCUUAGAGAACUCCCAUGCUCCUGCCAAACUAAACAGAGAAUAUGUGAGCUGCCCAGCCGGGAGUCCCUUCUCCUGUUGUGCCUCACAGUUCCUUCCGCCCUAGCCCAGACAAGCACAGGGGUAGUUAGGCAGGUCAGCCUGAGCAGACAUUCAACCAGGAAAUCCAACACCAGCUUUUGCAUUCUUGCAGGCACCCCCCAUCUCUAUGGGUGAGUCUUUCAGAAUUUUCCCUGUCACCUCUGAUAUAAAGCUCAUGAGCCUUUCUUCUCACUUCCCCAGUGUUCUGUGCAGGCUAGAAAAGAAAGGGGGUGAUAACUGCUGGCAAGAGGGAAAUUUUGUUUUCUCUUAGUAAGCUCUUUGGGGAGCUGUCUGGCCUCAGAUAGACAUGGCUCUCAUCAGAUCACACGGUCUUCAGGUAUUUUAGCUCAACGUGAGCCAGAAGCACCUAUUUAUUAUAAGACAGCAGAGAAGUCUGACAAUUACCAACAAGUUAAUAGUACAGAAUCACCCCACUACCCACUGACUUUUUAAUUUUGUAAUAUUUACUUACUUUGAGAGAGAC
Molecule: long non-coding RNA, 11205 nt
Organism: Leopardus geoffroyi (Geoffroy's cat)
Lineage: Eukaryota; Metazoa; Chordata; Mammalia; Carnivora; Felidae
Exons: 2
Source: RefSeq, a predicted model, not a curated record